GAAAUGCGAUAAGUAAUGUGAAUUGCAGAAUUCAGUGAAUCAUCGAAUCUUUGAACGCACAUUGCGCCCGCCAGUACUCUGGCGGGCAUGCCUGUUCGAGCGUCAUUUCAACCCUCAAGCACUGCUUGGUGUUGGGGCCCUACGGCUGCCGUAGGCCCCGAAAUGGAGUGGCGGGCUCGCUGCAAAUCCGAGCGUAGUAGAAUUAAACUUUUCUCGCUAGGGAGGAGCGGCGCGGCCCAGCCCAGCCCGUCCGACGGGGUACCCCAGCGGUCCCCACCGGACGUUCACACAAGGUUGACCUCGGAUCAGGUAGGAAUACCCGCUGAACUUAA
Molecule: unclassified non-coding RNA, 332 nt
Filed under: uncultured Sordariomycetes
Lineage: Eukaryota; Fungi; Ascomycota; Sordariomycetes
Description: sequence contains ITS1
Rfam family: 5.8S ribosomal RNA (bases 1-105)
Source: RNAcentral